Zonotrichia leucophrys gambelii is the source of this 2062-nucleotide long non-coding RNA. RefSeq lists it as uncharacterized. NCBI's taxonomy places the organism in Eukaryota, Metazoa, Chordata, Aves, Passeriformes, Passerellidae. The record is from RefSeq and is a predicted model, not a curated record. The transcript is spliced from 3 exons.
UAACAGUCCACUUAGCAACUGCAUUAAGUGAGGGUAUUUAGCCCCUUCAUCUCCUGGAUGUGGCUCCUCAGGCAAAGCCUGCGCCUUCUCCAUCGGCAGAGCCCGGCACCCUCAAGGUGCCAAGGCUGGAAGGGGGCACCCCCAUGGCACAUCCCUGGAUCUCCACCCUCUCUGACCCAUGAGGGAACACCACCCGUUCCUAAAGCCUUGUAUCCCUGCAUUUCCCUUGCCUCCUUUGCCUUGACACGGGCCAAAGGCUGGGGAAGUUGCGAGCAGCAAAAUUCCAGACGGACAGAAGAUGGCAGCAGCAGCCCAGCAACAGCUCUCCUUCACUGGAGAGGGAUUUCCUCUCUCCGGGAAUACCGGGGUGGUUUUGCAGAGGAGAGGAGACAUUUUCACCCUUUUGGAUUGUGACCAAGACACAGGAGACACGUGGACUGGAAAACCAAAGGAGGUGGCUCAGCAUGAAGAGCUUGGUGUGAGAAGGACCAUGGACUGAGUAUCUCAUCCAUGUCACAGUGAUGCCUGCUCCUGGACCAGGACCCACCAUGGGUAAGCUGUGGGAUAAGCUCUGCUCCCAGGAGAUUCACAGCAGGAUACAAGGACAGGAGCGACCAUCCAUCAAGGCACAUUGUCACCAGCGUGGCAGACAGCAAGCCCCAGGUGUGGAGGGGACAAGCUCUCACAAGCUCACAUUUUUGGGCCUGGUUCCUGUUUCACGUGGCAGCAGGGCUGGCCUCGACCCGGUGCCUGCCCCAGCAGAGCAGGACACGGUAGCUUGAAAGGGACUGUCGGGAGCAGAACAGCUGAGAGGCACAGCGAUCCCGCGCGGGUAUAAAUAGAGACAGAGCUGUUAUCCUGAUGAAAUGAGACCAGAUGUUUCUCUCAAAUCCCUCCUCUCCGCUAGUGAAAAUUAUAGUUUAGUUAAAACAGGGCAAAGCAGGCAGCAAAAUAUUUUCAAUCAGCUAAUGUUGGGAAGUCAAAGGGGCAGAAUGCCUCACUGGGGUAGGGAUACCAUGCCCUGUGAUGCUGCAGGGAUGGAUUGGGCAUGGUCACAGUGGGAACCAGGGGAGUCCCUCACUGCCUUUGUUCUAUUUUUCUGCUUCCUAUCCCAGUAUUAAUGGGCUGAGUUUUAAAGCCUGUGCUGUGGCCGCUUUUGUGAGGUAGAAAGUCAGUGUCAGCACAUGUAUCCUGGAGGCAGUUGGCACGAGAUGAAGGAGGGACGGCAGCAGCAGUUAAAACUGGGCCUUGGCUCUUUAAUAUUUAACUUUCCCCAGUGCUGGGGUUUUUUUUUAAUCAGUUUGUGCAUUAUCUGCCAUCCCCGUUCAAAGAGGGUUUUAGCAGAGAGAUUUCAGUGCUUAAUCCCAGGGGCAGGGAAAGCGGAAGAGUCUCUCUGAAGGUUCCAGGGCUCAAUCUGGCCUCAAUUACAGCAGCCUAAACCAGCAAAGAGUGGCCACCACGGACCCCACUGUGACUGCGUCGGGCUGCAGGUAACAAAAUGAGGGGUCAGUCCUGUGUCUCUGCAGGAGACACCUCUGGUCCCUAAGGCUCCAUGCCUAAGGGAGUUCCCAGGAGGAUCUAAACAGUGGCAGACUGUCUCAGAAUAAAUGUCCACUUGGGCAACAAGCAGAGCCUGGCUGUGGCCAGCUGCAGAUGCUUGGGAAGGGAUAUGGGAAGAGGGAGAGUAUAAAGUGAUCCUUCCUCCGGCAUUUCCUCCUGGCUCCUGGUAAUCAGCAGUUGAGGGACUUCCUAAGCCGGAGGUUGCAUGAAUUUGUGUAAUCCCUUUGGUUUUUUUUCCCUCAUUCAUUUAUACUUUUGGCCUCCAUGACAUCCUGUGGCAAUAAGUUCCACAGUGUAAUUAUGUGUUGUGUGAAAAAGUACUUCCUUUUGUCUGCUUGAGACCUGGCUCCUGAACAUUCCUCUCCAUGUUAUUGUGUUGUGAAGAAAAGGGAAAAAGAAUUCCAGGUCCAUACCAGACCUCUCUUGACCUCUCCAGACUUCUCUGUCUUUAUUUGCCCCAAGGUUUUGUUCUUCCAAACUGGAGCCUCCUUGUUUUUCUAGU